GUAUUGGAUUACAAUUAACGUCGUGCGGGACAUAACGUGGGUGUGUAUGAAAAAUAGAAGGACGGCACAUCCCGGGGAGAGCCGACAGCUGCCGGCAAGCCCUACGAACACACGAUUCCCUCAAAUGUGCACAGGUGUGUGUGAGAUGGACGGCAUCAGACGUGCACAUGCCCAACAGGGCCAGCACAGUUCGACACCGCCUUGAAUUUCAUCAAUGAUCCUUCCGCAGGUUCACCUACGGAAA
This 244-nucleotide unclassified non-coding RNA is filed under the name uncultured fungus. Its description in RNAcentral is "sequence contains ITS1". Lineage: Eukaryota; Fungi. The record is from RNAcentral.